GGUAGAUCCUUUCUCUACAAUGAGAAAGUUAGCUAAAGUCUUGCCAGCAGAAUCAAGGAAAAUAGAAAAUUUGCAUCAUGAACAUCAUAUUUUCUGACCUUAAAAUAUACUACAAAGCUAUAGAAAUCAAAAUAGCAUGGUACUGGCAUAAAAACAGGCACAGAACAAUGGAACAGAACAGAAUGCCCAGAAAUAACCCCAGGAUUUACAACCCACUCACUCUUAAUAAAGGAGCCAAAAACAUACAUUGGAGAAAUCACGUUCUUUUAAAUAAAUGAUGCUGGAGAAACUGGAUAUUCACACAUAGAAGAUUGAAACUUAACCCCUACCUUUCACUCUGUACAAAGAUCAACUCAAAAUGAAUCAAAUACCUCUAGAUUAUGGAAAUAUUAGAAGAAAAUAUAGGGGAAAUUCACGAAGACACUGGUACAGUCAGUGAUUUUUUUUGUUUUUUAGUAAAACCCUCAGAAGCACAAAUAACAAAAGAAAAAAUAGACAAAAUGAUUAUAUUGAACUAAGAAGCAUCUUUACACAAAGGAAAAUAUCAACAAAGUGAAGAGACUGACCUAUAGAAUGGAAAAAAUUGUAAAAUAUUCAUCUGAAAAAUAAUUAAUAUUUUUAUAAUAAUCCUUACAAAAAAAUCAGUAACAAAAAUGUCCUAUUGAAAAAUUAGCAAAUUAUACAAAGAGACAUUUCUCAAAACAAUAAAUUCAAAUAACCAAAACAUUUAUGAAAAAUGUUCAAUAUCAUUAGCAAUUAGCUAAGUGCAACCAAAAUCACAAAAUGGUGUAUUUAUUUCUCCAAGUUAGAAUGAUCAUUAGCCAAAAGAAAAAAAAUAACCAAUGUUGUUUAAGUAUGUAGAGAAAAGAGAACUUUUAUUCACUGUUAGUGGGAAUAUAAAUUAGUACAGACUCUAUGGAUAACAGUAUGGAGGUUUCUCAGAAUCUAAAUAUAGAUCUACCAUAUGAUCCAACUAUCUCAGUUCUGGGUAUAUAUCCAAAGGAGAUGACAUCAGUGUACCAGAAAUACCUACAUGCUCAUAUUUAUUGCUGUAUAGUUCACAAUAACUAAGAUGUAGAAUCAACUUAGAUGCCCAUCAACAGAUUACUGAAUAAAGACAAUGUAAAGGGUGCACACAAUGUAAUAUUAUUCAUCCCUAGGAAAGAAUGAAAUCCUGUCAUUUGCAACAAAAUUGGUGGAACUAGAGAAAAUUAUGUUAAGUAAAUAGGUCAGACAUAGAAAGAUAGAAAAUGAUCUCUCAUAUGUGAAUGCUUAAAAAAGUUAAAUUGAAUGUACAAUAGUGAUUAACAGAGGAUGAGAAAGGAAGGGGAAGACAUAAACGAGGUUGUAUAACAGGUACCAAACAGAGCUAGAUAAAAAUGAUAAGUGCUAGUGUUUAAUAGUACAAUGCAGUGACUAUAUUUCACAAUAAUGGUAUGAAUAACUAGAAAAGAAGGGCUCAAAUAUCCCAACACAAAGUAAUGAUAAAGAGAUAAAUAUAACCAACAUAUAUUCUAUACAUGUAUUAAUUGAUCAGCAUGUAUCCUAUAAAUGUGUUACUAUAUCAUAUGACCACUGAAAAAAGUUUCAAUUACUGUGUUAACCCAUUUUUUUUUAAUAUUCAAGGACUGGAAAUGCUAAUACUGCUCUUUGAUUAUUGUAAACUCUAUACAUGUAUUGAUUUAUCAUACUGUACCCCAUAAAUGUGUACAAUUAAACUAACAAUUAAUAAAAAUGUGCUUUAAAAGAAAAGAAAAUGUGUAUAACAAAAAAAGUUUAGAAAUGAGAAAAACAUCUAUUCUUUUAAAAUAUUAUUGGACCUGAACAGACACUUCUCAGAGGAGGACAUGCAGUCAAUCAACAAGUACAUGAAAAAAUGCUCACCAUCUCUAGCUGUCAGAGAAAUGCAAAUCAAAACCACCCUAAGAUACCAUCUCACUCCAGUAAGAUUGGCAGCCAUUAGGAAGUCAAACAACAACAAGUGCUGGCGAGGAUGUGGG
This 2000-nucleotide long non-coding RNA is filed under the name Marmota monax (woodchuck). The record is from RNAcentral. Lineage: Eukaryota; Metazoa; Chordata; Mammalia; Rodentia; Sciuridae.